Molecule: ribosomal RNA, 245 nt
Filed under: uncultured Actinomycetales bacterium
Lineage: Bacteria; Bacillati; Actinomycetota; Actinomycetes; Actinomycetales
Description: partial 16S ribosomal RNA
Rfam family: Bacterial small subunit ribosomal RNA
Source: RNAcentral
GGUACUCGAGUGGCGAACGGGUGAGUAACACGUGGGUGAUCUGCCCUGCACUUCGGGAUAAGCCUGGGAAACUGGGUCUAAUACCGGAUAGGACCAUGCUUUAGUGUGUGUGGUGGAAAGUUUUUUCGGUGUAGGAUGAGCCCGCGGCCUAUCAGCUUGUUGGUGGGGUAAUGGCCUACCAAGGCGGCGACGGGUAGCCGGACUGAGAGGUUGGUCGGCCACAUUGGGACUGAGAUACGGCCCAG